Molecule: ribosomal RNA, 2930 nt
Filed under: Bacillus cereus
Lineage: Bacteria; Bacillati; Bacillota; Bacilli; Caryophanales; Bacillaceae
Description: bacterial LSU rRNA
Rfam family: Bacterial large subunit ribosomal RNA
Source: RNAcentral
UUUGGUUAAGUUAGAAAGGGCGCACGGUGGAUGCCUUGACACUAGGAGUCGAUGAAGGACGGGACUAACGCCGAUAUGCUUCGGGGAGCUGUAAGUAAGCUUUGAUCCGAAGAUUUCCGAAUGGGGAAACCCACCAUACGUAAUGGUAUGGUAUCCUUAUCUGAAUACAUAGGGUAAGGAAGACAGACCCAGGGAACUGAAACAUCUAAGUACCUGGAGGAAGAGAAAGCAAAUGCGAUUUCCUGAGUAGCGGCGAGCGAAACGGAACAUAGCCCAAACCAAGAGGCUUGCCUCUUGGGGUUGUAGGACAUUCUAUACGGAGUUACAAAGGAACGAGGUAGACGAAGCGACCUGGAAAGGUCCGUCGUAGAGGGUAACAACCCCGUAGUCGAAACUUCGUUCUCUCUUGAAUGUAUCCUGAGUACGGCGGAACACGUGAAAUUCCGUCGGAAUCUGGGAGGACCAUCUCCCAAGGCUAAAUACUCCCUAGUGAUCGAUAGUGAACCAGUACCGUGAGGGAAAGGUGAAAAGCACCCCGGAAGGGGAGUGAAAGAGAUCCUGAAACCGUGUGCCUACAAAUAGUCAGAGCCCGUUAACGGGUGAUGGCGUGCCUUUUGUAGAAUGAACCGGCGAGUUACGAUCCCGUGCGAGGUUAAGCUGAAGAGGCGGAGCCGCAGCGAAAGCGAGUCUGAAUAGGGCGUUUAGUACGUGGUCGUAGACCCGAAACCAGGUGAUCUACCCAUGUCCAGGGUGAAGUUCAGGUAACACUGAAUGGAGGCCCGAACCCACGCACGUUGAAAAGUGCGGGGAUGAGGUGUGGGUAGCGGAGAAAUUCCAAUCGAACCUGGAGAUAGCUGGUUCUCCCCGAAAUAGCUUUAGGGCUAGCCUUAAGUGUAAGAGUCUUGGAGGUAGAGCACUGAUUGGACUAGGGGUCCUCAUCGGAUUACCGAAUUCAGUCAAACUCCGAAUGCCAAUGACUUAUCCUUAGGAGUCAGACUGCGAGUGAUAAGAUCCGUAGUCAAAAGGGAAACAGCCCAGACCGCCAGCUAAGGUCCCAAAGUGUGUAUUAAGUGGAAAAGGAUGUGGAGUUGCUUAGACAACUAGGAUGUUGGCUUAGAAGCAGCCACCAUUUAAAGAGUGCGUAAUAGCUCACUAGUCGAGUGACUCUGCGCCGAAAAUGUACCGGGGCUAAAUACACCACCGAAGCUGCGGAUUGAUACCGAAUGGUAUCAGUGGUAGGGGAGCGUUCUAAGGACAGUGAAGUCAGACCGUAAGGACUGGUGGAGUGCUUAGAAGUGAGAAUGCCGGUAUGAGUAGCGAAAGACGGGUGAGAAUCCCGUCCACCGAAUGCCUAAGGUUUCCUGAGGAAGGCUCGUCCGCUCAGGGUUAGUCAGGACCUAAGCCGAGGCCGACAGGCGUAGGCGAUGGACAACAGGUUGAUAUUCCUGUACCACCUCUUUAUCGUUUGAGCAAUGGAGGGACGCAGAAGGAUAGAAGAAGCGUGCGAUUGGUUGUGCACGUCCAAGCAGUUAGGCUGAUAAGUAGGCAAAUCCGCUUAUCAUAAAGGCUGAGCUGUGAUGGGGAAGCUCCUUAUGGAGCGAAGUCUUUGAUUCCCCGCUGCCAAGAAAAGCUUCUAGCGAGAUAAAAGGUGCCUGUACCGCAAACCGACACAGGUAGGCGAGGAGAGAAUCCUAAGGUGUGCGAGAGAACUCUGGUUAAGGAACUCGGCAAAAUGACCCCGUAACUUCGGGAGAAGGGGUGCUUUCUUAACGGAAAGCCGCAGUGAAUAGGCCCAAGCGACUGUUUAGCAAAAACACAGCUCUCUGCGAAGCCGUAAGGCGAAGUAUAGGGGGUGACACCUGCCCGGUGCUGGAAGGUUAAGGAGAGGGGUUAGCGUAAGCGAAGCUCUGAACUGAAGCCCCAGUAAACGGCGGCCGUAACUAUAACGGUCCUAAGGUAGCGAAAUUCCUUGUCGGGUAAGUUCCGACCCGCACGAAAGGUGUAACGAUUUGGGCACUGUCUCAACCAGAGACUCGGUGAAAUUAUAGUACCUGUGAAGAUGCAGGUUACCCGCGACAGGACGGAAAGACCCCGUGGAGCUUUACUGUAGCCUGAUAUUGAAUUUUGGUACAGUUUGUACAGGAUAGGCGGGAGCCAUUGAAACCGGAGCGCUAGCUUCGGUGGAGGCGCUGGUGGGAUACCGCCCUGACUGUAUUGAAAUUCUAACCUACGGGUCUUAUCGACCCGGGAGACAGUGUCAGGUGGGCAGUUUGACUGGGGCGGUCGCCUCCUAAAGUGUAACGGAGGCGCCCAAAGGUUCCCUCAGAAUGGUUGGAAAUCAUUCGUAGAGUGCAAAGGCAUAAGGGAGCUUGACUGCGAGACCUACAAGUCGAGCAGGGACGAAAGUCGGGCUUAGUGAUCCGGUGGUUCCGCAUGGAAGGGCCAUCGCUCAACGGAUAAAAGCUACCCCGGGGAUAACAGGCUUAUCUCCCCCAAGAGUCCACAUCGACGGGGAGGUUUGGCACCUCGAUGUCGGCUCAUCGCAUCCUGGGGCUGUAGUCGGUCCCAAGGGUUGGGCUGUUCGCCCAUUAAAGCGGUACGCGAGCUGGGUUCAGAACGUCGUGAGACAGUUCGGUCCCUAUCCGUCGUGGGCGUAGGAAAUUUGAGAGGAGCUGUCCUUAGUACGAGAGGACCGGGAUGGACGCACCGCUGGUGUACCAGUUGUUCUGCCAAGGGCAUAGCUGGGUAGCUAUGUGCGGAAGGGAUAAGUGCUGAAAGCAUCUAAGCAUGAAGCCCCCCUCAAGAUGAGAUUUCCCAUAGCGUAAGCUAGUAAGAUCCCUGAAAGAUGAUCAGGUUGAUAGGUUCGAGGUGGAAGCAUGGUGACAUGUGGAGCUGACGAAUACUAAUAGAUCGAGGACUUAACCCUAUAA